UGAUUCAAUGUCAUCUUCUGUAGCUAGAACAUCAUCUUGUUGUGCUUCAAUGACAUCUUUUAUAGUUAGAUCAUCAUCUUGUUCUGCUUCUUCUUCUGCUUCACUACUAUCUUCAGUAGCUACAAUGUAAUCUUGUUCUGCUUCAAUGACAUCUUCUGUAGCUACAGCUAUAUCCUGUUCUGCUUCACUGAAAUCUUCUGUAGCUACAG
Biomphalaria pfeifferi is the source of this 209-nucleotide non-coding RNA. Lineage: Eukaryota; Metazoa; Mollusca; Gastropoda; Planorbidae. The record is from the annotation of a GenBank genome assembly.